RNAcentral lists this ribosomal RNA (489 nucleotides) under uncultured bacterium. RNAcentral describes it as "partial 16S ribosomal RNA". It matches the Rfam family "Bacterial small subunit ribosomal RNA", at positions 28 to 507 of the family's 1533-position model. The record is from RNAcentral.
GACGAACGCUGGCGGCGUGCUUAACACAUGCAAGUCGAACGGUGAAGGGAUCAGCUUGCUGGUUCUGGAUGAGUGGCGAACGGGUGAGUAACACGUGAGUAACCUGCCCCCUUCUUCUGGAUAACCGCAUGAAAGUGUGGCUAAUACGGGAUAUUCUGGGUCUGUCGCAUGAUGGGUCUGGGAAAGAUAUUGUUUCGGUGGGGGAUGGGCUCGCGGCCUAUCAGCUUGUUGGUGGGGUGAUGGCCUACCAAGGCGGUGACGGGUAGCCGGCCUGAGAGGGUGGACGGUCACGCUGGGACUGAGACACGGCCCAGACUCCUACGGGAGGCAGCAGUGGGGAAUAUUGCACAAUGGGCGCAAGCCUGAUGCAGCGACGCCGCGUGAGGGAUGGAGGCCUUCGGGUUGUAAACCUCUUUCGCCAGUGAAGCAGGCCUGCUCCUUGUGGGUGGGUUGACGGUAGCUGGAGAAGAAGCGCCGGCUAACUACGUG